AUACUUACCUGGCAGGGGAGACGCCAUGAUCAUGAAAGUGGUUUUCCCAGGGUGAGGCUUACCCAUUGCAUUCCGGGUGUGCUGACACCUGCAAUUUCCCCAAAUGUAGGAAACUCAACAGUAUAAUUUGUGGUAGUAGGGGACUGUGUUUGUGCUCUCCCCUA
Molecule: small nuclear RNA, 164 nt
Organism: Carlito syrichta (Philippine tarsier)
Lineage: Eukaryota; Metazoa; Chordata; Mammalia; Primates; Tarsiidae
Gene: U1
Rfam family: U1 spliceosomal RNA
About the family: U1 is a small nuclear RNA (snRNA) component of the spliceosome (involved in pre-mRNA splicing). Its 5' end forms complementary base pairs with the 5' splice junction, thus defining the 5' donor site of an intron.
Source: Ensembl